RNAcentral lists this ribosomal RNA (253 nucleotides) under uncultured bacterium. Its description in RNAcentral is "partial 16S ribosomal RNA". It matches the Rfam family "Bacterial small subunit ribosomal RNA", at positions 524 to 776 of the family's 1533-position model. The record is from RNAcentral.
UACGUAGGGUGCAAGCGCUGUCCGGAAUUAUUGGGCGUAAAGAGCUCGUAGGCGGUCUGUCGCGUCGGCUGUGAAAACCCGAGGCUCAACCUCGGGCCUGCAGUCGAUACGGGCAAACUGGAGUGUUGCAGGGGAGACUGGAAUUCCUGGUGUAGCGGUGAAAUGCGCAGGUAUCAGGAGGAACACCGGUGGCGAAGGCGGGUCUCUGGGCAACAACUGACGCUGAGGAGCGAAAGCGUGGGGAGCGAACAGG